AAAAUUUCAUCCAGCAUCCAAAGUUGAGAUCUGUUGAUGCCAAAAUGUGAGCCAAGGUACCGAAACGAUGGAACAACAUGGCCGUAAACUGGAUCACCAGAAUCAACGCGAAGAAGAACACAAAUACCAGACCAAUAGGUUCCAAUUGAAGGUACUCCUUGCUGAUGUGCACCUAUAAAGAGAUAAUGCUACAUUUUUCUGACCAUUGACAAGUUACUUCAAAGUAGGUGAAGUUAUAAUAAGAGUGCACCACAUAAAUUAACCAAUAGCACAAAUAACACACAAUUAACCAUAAAAUUAGAAACGUUAACAACGUUACAGAAGAUACACAGAUUGCUUUCUGCUUUAUAUCCGAAAUAUCGAAAUUCAUUGGGGUCAUCAUCAUUUCGCCAGGGGGGUGAGAGAUUUUGCGCUGCCAAUUGAAGAGAAUUAUUUAAUUUUGUGAUUAUUCAACAUUUUUACAACAAAUUUUGAUGAAAUGAAAAGAUGAUGAUGAGAUAAUGAUAUAUUUUGUGCUGUAAUUUGUUUCGUUCUUAGUGAUUAGUACCACAAAGUACCAUUUGGUGAUCUGUGUUACCAUAGUACCACAAAAAUAAGUGUUUACAUUGAGUGUAUAAUAUAUUCACUGGUUUUGUGGUUGGUCUUGUGUGUUAAUCACUGGAAGAGUAAUUUGUAUGUGAUGACAUGAGUUUUGAUGCUUUGUAUAUAUGUGACUGUGAUAUAUUUUUAAAGAGUAACCAGACUUCAUUUGAGAAACACAUUGUUUAGUACACAAUAAUUAUUCCGUCCAAUCCAAGGAAGUGUAUAGACCCCCAGUGUGCCAUCGCCAUCUUUGUUUAUAACGUUUCGAGUUCACGCGAGAGCGCAACAUCGAAACAGCAUUUUGCCGCCUCUAAAUACCUCAGAAGUCUCCUCAAUGUACGUAAUAUUGGUGCGUAUGCCGAGCGGCCACUUAACAUGGAUCUGAUCCUUAUUAAGUUGCAGCAGAAACACGACCAACACAAACAACGCAUUGAACAUGAAGAAAGCGAAUACCGACUUAUUGCGCAGCUCGAUGAGCUCGCGCGCGAUCCGGGCCUGAAAGAAGAAGCAAAACGUGCGCGCGCACGAUUAGUCCACAUUUGCACUGGCAGGGACACAUGAUUCCUUCCUAGAUCUGUGGAGAAAUUGUAUUGCUUUCGACGCGCUAGCGAUAACAGGUGAGAUUUACGUGCGCGAAUCAUGUGAUCCCUCAAACAUUACCUCUUGUGUACUCUCGUCGUAUGUUAUAUUUGUCUUGAUGCCGAACGGCCAUUUUACGUGCAGGUAAUCCUUCUUCAGUGUCAAUAAGAACACGAUCAAGACAAAUAUAGCAUUGACCAUGAAGAAAGCAAACACGGACGAGUUUCUCAGUUCUUUUAAGUCGGACGCGAUACGUGCCUAAAACAAAACAUAACCCAAUUAACUUAAAUCAAACUAGUGAAGUGCACAUGCCUUUUCCUCCUUGUUCUCGUCAAUUGGAUACAAAUAUUUAUCCAACAACUCCUUCCAGAAGGCGAUUUCCGUUGAACUUAAGAAUUCCACCUCUCCUUUCCUUAGAUCGGGAUCUUCGAUCCAAUAUGGAUUGAUGAGAUCGUCGCGUUUGUUUUGUGGUACUGUUGACAUUGUUUCGCUAUCGCUGUCUGACGACUCCUCGGUUGGAUCUUCCGCAACAGCACUCAGAUGAUGAUGAUCUCCGCGGGAUGAAGCCGACAUGCUACGUCUGCGAGAAGCGUGACCCUGAGGAUCGAUUACCCUGAAACAAACAAAUUCGUUACACAUCGCCCUGUCACUUUAAAGUGACACUGAAUAAGUUCCGACUCUUCGAGACAACAAAAGUGUUGAAGUGAAAAAUUACCAAUAAAAACAUUCAUGUGAGAGAAGAAAAGUUCUUUAAUCGUAUGAACAACAUUCAGUCACCUUCAAGAGUCGGGAAAUGCCCUUAAAUCAGUCUCAAACUUCAGCAAUUUUGGUCAUUUUUGAAAAGUUGCUGUGGAAAAUGGUGAUAGAGGAAGUGUUCUUUAAUGGUAUGAACUGCAUUCAUUCACCCUCAGGGGUCGGGAUAUGCCCUUAAUUCACUCUCAAAUUUCAGCAAUUGUUGUCAUUUUUGAAAAGUUGCGUUGGAAAAUGGUGAUAGAAGAAGAGUUCUUUAAUCGUAUGAACUACAUUCAGUCACCCUCAUGGGUCGGAAAGUACCCUUAAAUCACUCUCAAACUUCAGCAAUUUUUGUCAUUUUUGAAAAGUUGCGGUGGAAAAUGGUGAUAGAGGAAGAGUUCUUUAAUGGUACGAACUGCAUUCAGUCACCCUCAAGGGUCGGGAUAUGCCCUUAAAUCACUCUCAAACUUCAGCAAUUUUUGUCAUUUUUGAAAAGUUGCGGUGGAAAAUAGUCCAUAUCACGCGUUUCCUUGACUGGAUUUUAAUUCUGUUUGCUUCAAGUGAUAGAAAAAGAGUUCUUUAAUCGUAUGAACUACCUUCUGUCCCCCUCAAGGGUCGGGAAGUACCCUUAAAUCCCUCUCAAACAUCAGCAAUUUUUGUCAUUUUUGAAAAGUUGCUAUGGAAAAUGGUGAUAGAAGAAGAGUACUUUAAUCGUAUGAACUACAUUCAGUCACCCUCAAGGGUCGGGAAGUACCCUUAAAUCACUUUCAAACUUCAGCAAUUUUUGUCCUUUUUUGAAAAGUUGAGGUAAUAGAGGAAGAGUUCUUUAAUGGUAUGAACUGCAUUCAGUAACCCUCAAGGGUCGGGAGGUGCCCUUAAAUCACUCUCAAACUUUAGCAAUUUUUGUCAUAUUUGAAAAGUUGCUGUGGAAAAUGGUGAUAGAAGGAGAGUUUUUUAAUGGUAUGAACUACAUGCAGUCACUCUCAAUAGUCGGGAAGUACCCUUAAAUCACUUUCAAACUUCAGCACUUUUUUGUCCUUUUUUGAAAAGUUGCGGUGGAAAGUGGUCUGUAUCCUGUGUUUCCUUGGCACGAUUUUAAUUCGGUUCGCUUCAAGUGAUAGAGGAAGAGUUCUUUAAUGCAAAUGGACAACUUUGAUGCCCAGCCAAGAAGUUUGUGAAUGCACGAAUGAAGUUUGCAAUAUCUCUAGAUGAAGUGUUGGAGAUGCGAGUAUUUUAAGGCAAGUUUUUACUACUUUCGAAUUUGCUAGCUGUCGAUAUUUUUCUAUUUAAAGAAAUGUAUCUAUUAUUAUUUUUGUCAAUAAAACACAAUGUAAAAUUAUAA
Dalotia coriaria is the source of this 3235-nucleotide long non-coding RNA. RefSeq lists it as uncharacterized. NCBI's taxonomy places the organism in Eukaryota, Metazoa, Arthropoda, Insecta, Coleoptera, Staphylinidae. The transcript has 11 exons. The record is from RefSeq and is a predicted model, not a curated record.